This 468-nucleotide ribosomal RNA is filed under the name uncultured bacterium. RNAcentral's name for it is "partial 16S ribosomal RNA". It matches the Rfam family "Bacterial small subunit ribosomal RNA", at positions 28 to 507 of the family's 1533-position model. The record is from RNAcentral.
GACGAACGCUGGCGGCGUGCUUAACACAUGCAAGUCGAACGGAAAGGCCCUGCUUUUGUGGGGUGCUCGAGUGGCGAACGGGUGAGUAACACGUGAGUAACCUGCCCUUGACUUUGGGAUAACUUCAGGAAACUGGGGCUAAUACCGGAUAGGAGCUCCUGCUGCAUGGUGGGGGUUGGAAAGUUUCGGCGGUUGGGGAUGGACUCGCGGCUUAUCAGCUUGUUGGUGGGGUAGUGGCUUACCAAGGCGUUGACGGGUAGCCGGCCUGCGAGGGUGACCGGCCACAUUGGGACUGAGAUACGGCCCAGACUCCUACGGGAGGCAGCAGUGGGGAAUAUUGCACAAUGGGCGGAAGCCUGAUGCAGCAACGCCGCGUGCGGGAUGACGGCCUUCGGGUUGUAAACCGCUUUCGCCUGUGACGAAGCGUGAGUGACGGUAAUGGGUAAAGAAGCACCGGCUAACUACGUG